RNAcentral lists this ribosomal RNA (138 nucleotides) under uncultured bacterium Af5-519. Its description in RNAcentral is "partial 16S ribosomal RNA". It matches the Rfam family "Bacterial small subunit ribosomal RNA", at positions 340 to 495 of the family's 1533-position model. The record is from RNAcentral.
UACGGGAGGCAGCAGUAGGGAAUAUUGGACAAUGGGGGCAACCCUGAUCCAGCAAUGCCGCGUGAGUGAUGAAGGCCUUAGGGUUGUAAAGCUCUUUUACCCGGGAUGAUAAUGACAGUACCGGGAGAAUAAGCUCCG